Molecule: ribosomal RNA, 524 nt
Filed under: uncultured bacterium
Lineage: Bacteria
Description: bacterial SSU rRNA
Rfam family: Bacterial small subunit ribosomal RNA
Source: RNAcentral
AAUAGAUACCCGGGUAGUCCACGCCGUAAACGUUGGGCGCUAGAUGUGGGGACCAUUCCACGGUUUCCGCGUCGUAGCUAACGCAUUAAGCGCCCCGCCUGGGGAGUACGGCCGCAAGGCUAAAACUCAAAGGAAUUGACGGGGGCCCGCACAAGCGGCGGAGCAUGCGGAUUAAUUCGAUGCAACGCGAAGAACCUUACCAAGGCUUGACAUAUGCGAGAACGCUCUAGAAAUAGAGAACUCUUUGGACACUCGUAUACAGGUGGUGCAUGGUUGUCGUCAGCUCGUGUCGUGAGAUGUUGGGUUAAGUCCCGCAACGAGCGCAACCCUCGUCGCAUGUUGCCAGCACGUAAUGGUGGGAACUCAUGUGAGACUGCCGGGGUCAACUCGGAGGAAGGUGGGGAUGACGUCAAAUCAUCAUGCCCCUUAUGUCUUGGGCUUCACGCAUGCUACAAUGGCCGGUACAAAGGGCUGCGAAAACCGCAAGGUGGAGCGAAUCCCAAAAAAGCCGGUCUCAGUUCGGA